RNAcentral lists this long non-coding RNA (1684 nucleotides) under Nicotiana tabacum (common tobacco). RNAcentral describes it as "long non-coding RNA (NTAB_LNC003007)". The record is from RNAcentral. Lineage: Eukaryota; Viridiplantae; Streptophyta; Magnoliopsida; Solanales; Solanaceae.
UUAUUUCCUCUCUCUUCUUUCCCUCUCCUUCUUCUCUCUUCUCUCUCUCUUCACUCUCUCUACGCCGCCCCAGCUCCGCCCAUCGCUGCCUGCCGAAAAUCGCCGCCGCCGGCGGACCACCUCCAAACACCUCCAAAUUCACACCACGUAAUCUCUACAACUUCCUCUUUCCAUAUCUCCAAACCAAAUCCCAAAUCCCUCAAACUCCUUGAAUCUUAGAUCUAGGAAACUUUCCCGUCACUUUUUUGCCCAAAUUCUAGAAUCUCCAACCACUACCACCCCAAAAUACCUACAUCAAUGGAUAGAGCUCCUCAAGACCUAGCUAUUGAUGUCAAUUCUACCCCAAAAAUCCGGCGACCAAAUUCCAGCCUAAUUCCGGCAACCUCCCGGAACACCCUCUGUGGCAUACCACCAUUUGUUCAGCCUUUUGAUGUGUAAAAUGGUAAAAUAUUAUUCUUUUUCAUGGCUGAUUUUUUUUUAGUUUUCAGAAUUUAUUUUUGUCUAUUAUUAAUUAUUUUAGCAUUAGUUUUUGAAGUUUGAAAUGUUAAAUUUACUGUUUUUGCACUUGUUGAAGUAGUAAAAUAGUUUUGUAUUGAUAAAAGUGAGGUAAUAAAAAAUACUUAAGAGUAUAUGGUACUUGUUUGGUUGUUUGUUUACUACUUCAAGACUCUUUGAGUACAACACUCAAAAGUCAAAUUGUUUGGUAAGAAAAUGUAGACCUUUGGACAUUAUUUGAAUAAAAUCUAUCUUUGAAUAGUGGAGAGCAGAUUUUGUUUGAAAUACUUGACAAGAUUUGAACUAGAAAGUCUUGCUUUUUGAAUUUAAGAGCAGAUUUUGUAGAAAAAUCUGUCAAAAAAGAUUGAUUUUUAAUUUUUUAAAAUAGUUGGUUGUUUUGAUAUAUAGAGGGGACUCCAUCACACUUCCAGGGGAGCAUUUUUUUAAUUGCUUUGUCACAAAAACAAAAAAGAAUUCAGCAGUUGAACACAUGAAAAGUAAGCUGAAAUGGUGAGCUUUGGGAGUGAAUCUUAGAGUGCAAACUUUUAAAAAAGUAUAAGUCCUCUUUAGAGUUCGUUUCUGGGUUCCCUCUCUAAGUUUUCGGGUUGUUUUAACACGAAUUUGCUGCUGGUUUUGUUGUUGUAUUGCUGCUGUUUUUAUGCUGCUUUAGUUGUUGAACUACUGUUUAUUCUUUUGCUACCAGGUAAUCCUUUAAGACUCGUAAUGUACGUAUUUUCAGCAAUGGGAACAACUUGAACAUGUUGCACCAUUUAAAUGUGUUUGAUGUGAUGAAUAGUUUGACAACAAAAGAGCUUGUAUGUUAUUAUUAUGUAUCAAGCAUGUGAUUAUGUGAAUAUAGUCCUUCAUAAUACUUGAAUAUUGAGUUGUAAGUUUUUGAAUGGGAUAUGUAAGUCGUUUAUGGAUUUUUUAAGCAUGUUUUCAAGCUAUUAUAUCCGAGUAAUAAUGCUAAGUAUGUCAUGAAUGACUUUAGGUGUAUAACACAUAGCAUGAGUUCGUUUUAGUUGCUGAAAUUUCACUGCCAACAUAUGUUUCUAGGAGUGCUGUGAUAAUAUCUUUGUGAAUCUGGCCAUUUUGCCGGAUUUGCAAAAAUGGCUAUUUUUGUAAAGUGGGCGUUUAUACAAUUGUGACUAUGUAGUUAAUGGUCAUGAACUCAAACUAAGCAAAGAGC